Molecule: long non-coding RNA, 1900 nt
Filed under: Mus musculus (house mouse)
Lineage: Eukaryota; Metazoa; Chordata; Mammalia; Rodentia; Muridae
Description: long non-coding RNA chr17:45865079-45866979
Source: RNAcentral
UUUCCUCCUUUAAAAUUUUACCUCUCUGAACAACCUGUCCUUCAGAUUAAAUGGGAUUGUGGGAAAAGACAGGAAAGCCCUCCCCCCUUCAUCAAGGUAUUAUGGACCAGCAACUGAGAACCUAUAGAAGCUGUUAGUGACAUAAUGAUUUGGAGAACCCUUCCUCAGAGUCCACCUGAUACACCCUGGGGGCGGGGCAGAACCCAGUCUGAAGGGGACUCAGGGAACCCAAGUGAUAUGACUUGUCUUCAGGAGCCCCAGGCUGCAGGAGACACAUGGCCCUUCUUCAGGAAGCCCCGGUCUGAGGUAGGAAGUAGUUAAUAUGUCACAGGGUUAAUAUUGUUUCGGCGCUGGUGUGGAGCUGUGUAGAGUAGACCCUGGAAUCUGUAUCCACAGGAUGAGACUCCACAAGAAGCUGUUAGGUAUCAGAUGGUGGGGAAAAUUGACAUCCCUGAGGUCUCCCCCUCCCUCAGGUUUCAAAUGCCUAUCAUCUUCUAUCCCAGGCUAUGUCUGACUAACAGGAAGGGCUGCUGGGGUCCAGUUUACCCAUGAAAUACAGGUUAGUCCAAGCUGAAGAAGCAAGCAGUUGGAGGAGUCAAUUGAGGGACCAUGGAAGAUAAGCCAUCUUCCUUAGAGAAGAAACACUCAAGCCAUCUUGGCUAGUAAAGACAUGUGGAUGACAAACUGAGUCUCCCAUGGCCCAGACAGGGCCUAUGUGCAAAGGGGACGUGGUUAGGACCUAGAACUCUUCAGGCAGGAGUCAGGGCUGGCCGGGUGAGAGGCUCUGAGACCCCUGCUCCCUGUCACCCAUAUCCUGGUGACAACUACCGUUUGCAGAUAUGGAAUCUACCCCUCAGACGCUGUUGAGAGGAAAGAUGGUGGUGGUCAUGGACUGAGUGAGGGGCGUUUGCAGCAAUUUGCUGGCCCCAACACACACUCACAGUACUGACCAGCAAUAAAUGUGCAUGAAAUGCUCUCGGAAGUCACCAUGGCUUUCAGGAGAGGAAGUGUCCAGGGAGGGAGGGGCAUAAGCCUGGAACUGCAAGUCUGGCCAGCCAGUCGUGGUGUUUCCGUGACAAGAGGAUAGUCUCUGGGAACCAGAUGGCAAGCUUAGGUUGCCAAUAGGCGUUUACAAACACUGACACUACAAAGACCCUGGUGGCAGAGAAGGAGAAACCGAGGCACUGAGAGCCAAGGGAGACUGAGAGGAUUUGCCACACAGCAUUGAGCAUUGCUAGCCCCUGAAAUCUCUGGACAAGUUUAACCUCCCUUCCAGCAUAGGCUUGUUGUAAGCACAAGAGGAUGCCUAUGAGAUGUGUUCUGCAAGCCUAGUCAGGCCCUGGAUGGAGUCCCAAGCCCAGCCUCGUCCAGGCCCCCAACCCUCUGGUCAGCAAAAGCAAUCCACAUGGGAUGGCCCCCAGACUUGCAGGCGACAGUCACUCAACACUCCAUUAGCUGCUCUCCCGCUGACAGUCCCCAGGCGGGAGGCUCUCUUUCUGGAGAGUGAAAGCGUCCAGGAUGAUGAGCCUCCAGGGACUCUGAGCUCCCUCACGCCAAUUUAACCAGAGCUGAGCGAAGCGAGCAAGCGAGGUGAGGAGCAGAUUAACUCUCAGGAAAACCAUGGCCAGCCCUCACCAGGCAAUGCCACAGAGGCACGAUGAGAUUCUAAAGUUGGACUUGGUCCCCACGGGGACUGCCAAUCCAGAAGAGGAAGGAAAAUGUGUGGGAAAGGGGUCAAAGGACAUAAAUCAACAUGCCUGAAAUGAAUAUGGAUCAGAACAUACUUUAUGCAAACAUAUGUAAAUAGAGAUGUAAAUCUACCCCAGGGUGGGGCAGAUGUGAAAGUCACGGUUCCAGAAAGUCCUCACAAUGGAGCCCUCUGUUCAAGUGCAUCCUUUCC